AUUCACCCCGGAGGGUGUUACUUUCAACAUAUCCAGGAGGACAAAGUCGGCAUCCAAGUCGUUCACGUAUCCUAGGUUCCCGGGCUCUCCAGCAUUGUGUCCGGUUGAAUGCCUGAGGACUUAUCUGGAUGCUACUCGAUCUUUUCGUUCCUUGGACUUGCAUCCUCUAUUCGUGUCUUUUAGGACACCUCAUAGGCCUGUUUCGUCUCUGACUCUGGCACGAUGGGUACGCU
Non-coding RNA from Pelobates cultripes (western spadefoot toad), 233 nucleotides. NCBI's taxonomy places the organism in Eukaryota, Metazoa, Chordata, Amphibia, Anura, Pelobatidae. The record is from the annotation of a GenBank genome assembly.